Small nuclear RNA from Echinops telfairi (small Madagascar hedgehog), 163 nucleotides. RefSeq annotates it as U1 spliceosomal RNA. Lineage: Eukaryota; Metazoa; Chordata; Mammalia; Afrosoricida; Tenrecidae. The record is from RefSeq and is a predicted model, not a curated record. The transcript has a single exon.
AUACUUGCCUGGCAGGGAGACACCAUGAUCAUGAAGGUGGUUUUCCCAGGGCGAGGCUUAUCCAUUGCAGCCCGGAUGUCCUGACCCCUGCGAUUUCCCCAAAUGUGGGAAACUGGACUGCAUAAUUUGCGGUAGCAGGGGACUGUGUUCAUGCUCUCCCCUG